This 253-nucleotide ribosomal RNA is filed under the name uncultured bacterium. RNAcentral's name for it is "partial 16S ribosomal RNA". It matches the Rfam family "Bacterial small subunit ribosomal RNA", at positions 524 to 776 of the family's 1533-position model. The record is from RNAcentral.
UACAGAGGUCUCAAGCGUUGUUCGGAUUCAUUGGGCGUAAAGGGUGCGUAGGCGGCGCGGUAAGUCGGGUGUGAAAUCUUGGAGCUUAACUCCGAAACUGCAUUCGAUACUGCCGUGCUUGAGGACUGGAGAGGAGAAUGGAAUUCCCGGUGUAGCGGUGAAAUGCGCAGAUAUCGGGAGGAACACCGGUGGCGAAGGCGGUUCUCUGGGCCUGACCUGACGCUGAGGAGCGAAAGCGUGGGGAGCGAACAGG